Molecule: ribosomal RNA, 252 nt
Filed under: uncultured bacterium
Lineage: Bacteria
Description: partial 16S ribosomal RNA
Rfam family: Bacterial small subunit ribosomal RNA
Source: RNAcentral
UACGGGGGGGCAAGCGUUGUUCGGAAUUACUGGGCGUAAAGGGCUCGUAGGUGGCCAACUAAGUCAGACGUGAAAUCCCUCGGCUUAACCGGGGAACUGCGUCUGAUACUGGAUGGCUUGAGUUCGGGAGAGGGAUGCGGAAUUCCAGGUGUAGCGGUGAAAUGCGUAGAUAUCUGGAGGAACACCGGUGGCGAAGGCGGCAUCCUGGACCGACACUGACGCUGAGGAGCGAAAGCCAGGGGAGCAAACGGG